Molecule: long non-coding RNA, 1338 nt
Filed under: Medicago truncatula (barrel medic)
Lineage: Eukaryota; Viridiplantae; Streptophyta; Magnoliopsida; Fabales; Fabaceae
Description: long non-coding RNA (MTRU_LNC007759)
Source: RNAcentral
UCUGAUAUAUCUGGAUUGAUCAUAAUUCGGGUAGUAUUCACUACAUUUUGCGGGGAUCCAUUCUCUACAAAAAUUCAACCAAUUACAAAACUUAUAAGAAUAUUCAUACAUUAAAAUUUCAAAAUGUUUAGAAGAAAUAGACCAAAAAACACACCACUGAAAAUCUUCACUUUUGUGAACUGCAUAUCCAGCACAUGCAAACCUUCAUCAACUUUGGCCAUGAGUUGUUUCAAGUGAUCCACAUAAUCUCCAAACAGAGCAAUCUCACAUUUUCCACUUGUGACAAAAACCAAACAGAAGUUUAAACGAUGGUCCCUUCUAUAAACAAAACGAAGAUAGAUCUUAACAUGCCUCAUAAAAUAAGAUAUCAACAUGUGAUCAGUUAGCUGAAGCAAAAUCAUCUUGGUGAUCUUCCCAUCCUUAAUAUACUCCCUUACCUCCGAUAUUACAGUCAUUAAGCCAAUGCCAUCUAAACAACAAAAAUGAUUAAGAAAAGAAAGAGGUAAUCAUAACAAAAAAGGAACAAUAACAAAGGGAAGCAUAAGGAAAAUAAGCAAAUUAGGAAGAUAUGUAGAUAACUCUAUGAAAACAACAAACCAAUCAAAUAAUCGUUGUCCACGGUUUGAUGGUUAACCUCAACUAUAUUAGUCAAAGUUAAUCCAAACAUGGGAAGCAAGGGACCGUCAACAACACUCACUUUGGUCCUCAUAUGGAAAAACAACUUAUAAGUAUGGGUAGUUGUCCUGUACAAACCACUGUUUGGAGCAACUAAAUUCUAAUCUUAUAAACGCAUAAUUGCUUGAAUUCUAAUCUUCUGAUUUUGCCAAAGAUAUGUCCUGAAAAUGCCCUCGACGACAAUGUAGCACCUUUUUAUUCUACUCUUUAAGGGGCUGACACAAAGCAUUAUAAAACUUUGAUGCAUAAAAAGUGUCUCUUUCACUCUGAUCAAGAAAAACUGGUGCAACUAUAUAGUAAACAUUUUAAUGUUUUUCAAUGAUUAAAAUUAGGUGUCAUUGCAUGAAAGUUAUAUUAUGUAGUUCGUAACACCAUUGUUUCUACAAAUGUGUUUUCAUGGAAUGCUAUUAACAUUUUUGUCUUUAAAUGUAUGCAACAUGUUUUAGCAAUUUUUUACAGAGAUGUUAAUUUUCAUUUGUUUCAACAAUGCUGAUGCAUUUUUUCUAAGAAUAUUGGUUAAGAUCAUAGACGAAUCAAUUGGGUGACAUAAUGCACUGAUAAAGUUAAUAUUUUCCGUCAUAUGCAACCAAUUAUAAAUAAGAGUUUAACCGUUCUUGUUCAUUUGGGUGACUAUAUUCAACCAAUUAUUUUUUUCAAAAGAGG